Molecule: ribosomal RNA, 616 nt
Filed under: uncultured bacterium
Lineage: Bacteria
Description: bacterial SSU rRNA
Rfam family: Bacterial small subunit ribosomal RNA
Source: RNAcentral
AAAACUCAAAGGAAUUGACGGGGACCCGCACAAGCGGUGGAUGAUGUGGAUUAAUUCGAUGCAACGCGAAAAACCUUACCUACCCUUGACAUGUACGGAAGCCUUCAGAAAUGAGGGUGUGCUCGAAAGAGAGCCGUAACACAGGUGCUGCAUGGCUGUCGUCAGCUCGUGUCGUGAGAUGUUGGGUUAAGUCCCGCAACGAGCGCAACCCUUGUCCCUAGUUGCUACGCAAGGGCACUCUAGGGAGACUGCCGGUGACAAACCGGAGGAAGGUGGGGAUGACGUCAAGUCCUCAUGGCCCUUAUGGGUAGGGCUUCACACGUCAUACAAUGGCCGGUACAGAGGGUUGCCAAAGCGCGAGCUGGAGCCAAUCCCAGAAAGCCGGUCGUAGUCCGGAUUGCAGUCUGCAACUCGACUGCAUGAAGUCGGAAUCGCUAGUAAUCGCGGAUCAGCAUGUCGCGGUGAAUACGUUCCCGGGUCUUGUACACACCGCCCGUCACACCAUGGGAGCGGGAUGUACCAGAAGUAGGUAGGCUAACCGCAAGGAGGCCGCUUACCACGGUGCGUUUCGUGACUGGGGUGAAGUCGUAACAAGGUAGCCGAAUCGAAUUCCCGC